RNAcentral lists this ribosomal RNA (440 nucleotides) under uncultured bacterium. RNAcentral describes it as "partial 16S ribosomal RNA". It matches the Rfam family "Bacterial small subunit ribosomal RNA", at positions 338 to 795 of the family's 1533-position model. The record is from RNAcentral.
CCUACGGGCGGCAGCAGUGGGGGAUAUUGCACAAUGGGGGGAACCCUGAUGCAGCGACGCCGCGUGAGCGAUGGAGUACUUCGGUAUGUAAAGCUCUGUCAGCAGGGAAGAAAAUGACGGUCUCUGACCACGAAGCCCCGGCUAAAUACGUGCCCGCAGCCACGGUAAUACGGAUGGGGCAAGCGUGAUCCGGAUUUACUGGGUGUAACGGGAGCGUAGGCGGCAGGGGAAGCCUCAUGUGAAAGCCUGGGGCUCAACCCCGGGACUGGAUUGGGAACUGCGCUUCUGGAGUGCCGGAGGGGCAGGCGGAAUUCCUAGUGUAGCGGUGAAAUGCGUAGAUAUUAGGAGGAACACCAGUUGCGAAGGCGGCCUGCUGGACGGUGACUGACGCUGAGGCUCGAAAGCGUGGGGAGCAAACAGGAUUAGAUACCCCUGUAGUC